RNAcentral lists this ribosomal RNA (492 nucleotides) under uncultured bacterium. RNAcentral describes it as "partial 16S ribosomal RNA". It matches the Rfam family "Bacterial small subunit ribosomal RNA", at positions 29 to 507 of the family's 1533-position model. The record is from RNAcentral.
AGUGAACGCUGGCGGUAGGCCUAACACAUGCAAGUCGAACGGCAGCACAGUAAGAGCUUGCUCUUACGGGUGGCGAGUGGCGGACGGGUGAGGAAUACAUCGGAAUCUACUUUUUCGUGGAGGAUAACGUAGGGAAACUUACGCUAAUACCGCAUACGACCUACGGGUGAAAGCAGGGGAUCUUCGGACCUUGCGCGAUUGCAUGAGCCGAUGUCGGAUUAGCUAGUUGGCGGGGUAAAGGCCCACCAAGGCGACGAUCCGUAGCUGGUCUGAGAGGAUGAUCAGCCACACUGGAACUGAGACACGGUCCAGACUCCUACGGGAGGCAGCAGUGGGGAAUAUUGGACAAUGGGCGCAAGCCUGAUCCAGCCAUACCGCGUGGGUGAAGAAGGCCUUCGGGUUGUAAAGCCCUUUUGUUGGGAAAGAAAAGCAGCAGGUUAAUACCCCGCUGUUCUGACGGUACCCAAAGAAUAAGCACCGGCUAACUUCGUG